UGUAUAAGGUUAGGGAGCGUGUGUAUUAUGUAUAAGGUUAGGGAGAGUGUGUAUUCUGUAUAAGGUUAGGGAGCGUGUGUAGUGUGUGUAUAAGGUUAGGGAGCGUGUGUAGUGUGUGUAUAAGGUUAGGGAGCGUGUGUAUUACGUAUAAGGUUAGGGAGAGUGUGUAUUCUGUAUA
Long non-coding RNA from Brienomyrus brachyistius, 178 nucleotides. RefSeq lists it as uncharacterized. The transcript is spliced from 3 exons. The record is from RefSeq and is a predicted model, not a curated record. NCBI's taxonomy places the organism in Eukaryota, Metazoa, Chordata, Actinopteri, Osteoglossiformes, Mormyridae.